CUCGCACUCACACACCUCGACCUCCUUUCUCUCUCUACAAACUCUCUUCCCCUUUCUUCGAUCCGGUUGACCUGCCGGAGUUGCCCUCUCCCCCUUCCGUCAUGGAUCGGGCUGCACUCCGUCGUCCUCUCGCUGUCACUCCCGGCUCCCUCCUCCUUCCAUCGUGGUUUCAUGGAGUUGACAUAUUUUGAGAUGUAUUUGGGAGACAACGAGCAGAACACACGAAGACUUUAGGCAUGAUCAUGCAACACAAUGUGAAAAUUGUGAAAUUUACAAAAAGGUCAUCCGGGGUAAAUUAACAAUAUAAAGAUUAUACAUUGAAGUGCAAAUGAGAUCUAUUUAAAAGGGGAUCUUGGAUGGAUUUGAAAAGACAUGAUUUUUUCAAUUGAAGAGGAGAAGAGAAGGGGACUACCACGUUCUCUACCACGACACCAUAUUAUUUAAAGGGAAAUAAGGAAGAAUACGAUGGAAGAUAAAAGAAAUUGGAAGAGGAUUGCAGACGACUUUUCGGGGCGUUCUUCUUCUAUCUUCGAUUCUGAUUGAGGAUUGCUACUGCACGGAGAACCUCUCUAUUGCCGUCAAAUCGGCUUCGAAAAAGACUUCAUGUUGUAACUGACCCGAGACAUCGCAUCUGGCAUAAAAUAAAUGCCACAAGUUUAAUGUAAUUUAUGUAAUCUGUUUGGAUGAAAAUUUAAGAGACAAUAUAAUUAAAAUCCGUUGUAAUAAAAGGUGUAUUUAAUAGGUGUUGACUGGGAGGGGAUUUUUUUAGUUGUAAAAUUAAUGGGAUGAAUUUUUUGAUUGUGUGUUAAUGUCGACAGUGAUGUUGUAGUAAAAAUGAGAAUUUUUUUUUUUUAGGGUCG
Molecule: long non-coding RNA, 860 nt
Organism: Andrographis paniculata
Lineage: Eukaryota; Viridiplantae; Streptophyta; Magnoliopsida; Lamiales; Acanthaceae
Exons: 4
Source: RefSeq, a predicted model, not a curated record